GAUGAAGAACGUAGCGAAAUGCGAUCAGUAAUGCGAAUUGCAGAAUUUCCGUGAGUCAUCGAAUCUUUGAACGCACAUUGCGCCCACUGGUAUUCCGGUGGGCAUGCCUGUUCGAGCGUCAUUAUCCUCCCUCAAACCCCGGGUUUGGUGUUGGACCCAAGUUGUGUGAACAACUGGUCUCAAAGACAAUGACGGCGUCCGUGGGACCCUCGGUGCAACGAGCUUUUAGGAGCACGCAUCGAGUUGCAAGGACCUUCCGGGCCGGUCUCCUUUACCAUUUUACAAGGUUGACCUCGGAUCAGGUAGGAAUACCCGCUGAACUUAAGCAUAUCAAUAAGCGGAGGA
RNAcentral lists this unclassified non-coding RNA (345 nucleotides) under soil metagenome. RNAcentral's name for it is "partial contains 5.8S ribosomal RNA, internal transcribed spacer 2, and large subunit ribosomal RNA". The stretch from base 1 to 121 matches the Rfam family "5.8S ribosomal RNA", at positions 35 to 154 of the family's 154-position model. The record is from RNAcentral.